This 494-nucleotide long non-coding RNA is filed under the name Nicotiana benthamiana. RNAcentral describes it as "long non-coding RNA (NBEN_LNC033974)". The record is from RNAcentral. Lineage: Eukaryota; Viridiplantae; Streptophyta; Magnoliopsida; Solanales; Solanaceae.
CCUAAUUAACUUGCUUAUAGUGGCAUAGCUAAGAGGGGAGAGAAUGGAGGCUUUCUUUGAAAAAAUAUUGGAGAGCCUACAGAAUUUAGGAGCUGAAAAUACAUCAUAGUUUAAAAAGAGAAAAUUCCAGAAAGAGAGAUGGCUAAAGUUUGUUCACUAUUCCAUUGAAAUUUUUUCCUUCUUUUUUCAUCUCCUUUGAUUUCUAAUUGUUUUCUACUGAAAAUACUUUUUCCUUCAUUUGGGGUUUCAAAAAUUAGUUGAACUUGGUUUUGAGAUCAAUCUUGAAGUCAAUUUGAUCGCUGUUUUUCGAAUGAGGGUGAUCUUGGGGUCUGAACAUCAUUUCCUGGGUCUUGAAGCGAUUUCUAGUUCUGUUUCUUGCUGCUCUUACUUUCAGUUGCCGAAUCUUCAUUAUUUGCUCUCAUUAUUACAUGUACAAAUUCUGAAUCCUUCAAGAUGUAAAGUCUAAUUUGAAGAUGAAAUGAAAGCACCAUGAU